RNAcentral lists this ribosomal RNA (264 nucleotides) under uncultured bacterium. RNAcentral's name for it is "partial 16S ribosomal RNA". It matches the Rfam family "Bacterial small subunit ribosomal RNA", at positions 28 to 303 of the family's 1533-position model. The record is from RNAcentral.
GACGAACGCUGGCGGUGUGCUUCACACAUGCAAGUCGAACGGGUAGCAAUACCCAGUGGCGGACGGGUGAGUAACACGUGGGAAUCUACCAUUAGAUGGGGAAUAACAGGCCGAAAGGACUGCUAAUGCCGCAUAUGUAUGUGCCUCGACAGGGGCGUAUAUGAAAGGAGUAAUCCGUCUGAUGAUGAGCCCGCGUACCGAUUAGCUAGUUGGAGGUAAAAGCCUACCAAGGCGACGAUCGGUAGGUGGUCGUGAAGAGGAUGA